RNAcentral lists this ribosomal RNA (301 nucleotides) under uncultured bacterium. RNAcentral's name for it is "partial 16S ribosomal RNA". It matches the Rfam family "Bacterial small subunit ribosomal RNA", at positions 509 to 807 of the family's 1533-position model. The record is from RNAcentral.
CAGUAGCCACGGUAAUACGAGGGGGGCAAGCGUUGUUCGGAAUUAUUGGGCGUAAAGGGCGCGUAGGCGGUUUGGCAAGUUUCGUGUGAAAUCUUCGGGCUCAACUCGAAGUCUGCACGGAAAACUGCCGGGCUUGAGUAUGGGAGAGGUGAGUGGAAUUUCCGGUGUAGCGGUGAAAUGCGUAGAUAUCGGAAGGAACACCUGUGGCGAAAGCGGCUCACUGGACCAUAACUGACGCUGAGGCGCGAAAGCUAGGGGAGCAAACAGGAUUAGAUACCCGUGUAGUCCCUGUCUCUUAUAC